This is a long non-coding RNA of Xiphophorus couchianus (Monterrey platyfish), 1454 nucleotides long. RefSeq lists it as uncharacterized. Lineage: Eukaryota; Metazoa; Chordata; Actinopteri; Cyprinodontiformes; Poeciliidae. The record is from RefSeq and is a predicted model, not a curated record. The transcript has 2 exons.
UUUUGAAUUGAGUCCCACCACACUUUUUUUCACAGUACAAUCAUCACAUUCUCCAUCAGCCCAGAUAUAAAGCAAAAACUAAUUCUGUUAAACAUGAAACACAUGUUCUGUCAAGACACUUUACAGAAUAAUGGGUGGGAAAUGUCCAGCAAUGAUGACUUCUAGUGAAUUGUCAUGAACCUCCAUAUUACUAAAAUAUUAUUUUGCUGGAUAGUCAAAUAUUCUUGAUAUUCACAGGCAGGCUUGGAUGAUUGAGUUUUUGUUUUUUGGUUGACUUCCAGAAAAGUCAGGACUGUCAGAGGUGAUUCCUCCAGGAAACAACCGUGGGAGCUGACUUUCCACAGGCUGAGGGACCUGCUGGUCCUGGGAGUCUGUCUGGCAGCCACUGUGUGACCGUCAGCCGUGUCUCAGAGUGCCGCAGCAGGUACAGACGGACGGACAGAGUGCUGAUUGUCACCAGUGUUAUCCGAGUCCAGCGGUGGCGGUUGGCAGGAUACGUUUCACCCAGCGUGAAUGCGAAGUGACAGUCCGUUAUUGUGAUAAAAUCGAGCAGGAGCCGAUCUCAUUCAGCGGGGUUCCCUAGGAGAGAGACACAGGAACACAGUGAAGUGAGCCAAGCUGGUAAUGCAAGCUGAAUCUAAACUACCUGCUUGUUUUUGUCUGAGAUGAUAAGCUGCUGUCGAAGCAGGAGAGCUCAGCACUCUGACCACUCACUUUCACAAAACACGGGAGACUGAACACAAAGAGAGCGACUGUGAGUGGGAUGUGGGAGCAUAUGGCACAAGACAGGUGCUUAAAGGGAAAAAAGCACAGGGAGGCCUAGAAUGUUCUACGCCUUGUGAUGAAACUGCAUAUGGAUGGCUGUGGCAUUGCCAUGGAGAUGUGGGUCAUAGUACUGAUGUGGGAGCGUAGCAUGGAUUUGUUGCUGGCAGCAGAGUGCUGACUGUACAGAAUUAGAGCCGGCAGUAAACUCCAGCUGAAUCUAGGUCAGUGGGAUUCUCAAGACCAGAGGCAGAACUGAGGUAGCUGUGGAGAGAAGGGGAGUGAGGCAGUGAGGAAGAGGGAAUGCCAUGACGGUGUGGGGGAACACCAGCCAAAGCAUGAAUACAAUGCUGAAGUUAAAUAUGCCUAAAUGACAAACAAAAAAUUGGUGCUGAUACAGAAUGGCCUCAUAAUACUGGUCAAUAGCAAAAAAUAUAUCUGGGGUUUCUCAGCUAAGGUCAUGUUGAUGAGCUGAAACCAAAUAUCACAUUGGUUUUGCUCCAUCAGGUCAACUUUCUGAACUAUAGAUGCAACAUGAGCAUCAAAAUGCAGGACUUGUUCUCACAUCUAGAGAAUCUGGAUCAAUGAUGAACAGGAGGAGAGACGCCAUCAGGACAGAAAAGAGACAGAGACAUAAUGUUCAAUUUACAUGUACUUACCCUUAUCAGUGUUUAUUAUACAAUUUACAGAAA